GGGUCAAUGGGGAAAUCUUUGACUUGUCUCUAGAGAGGUGUUGUCUUAAAAGUUAUGCUCAAUAGAGUUACGCUGAGGACCC
Small nucleolar RNA from Carlito syrichta (Philippine tarsier), 82 nucleotides. Its record names the gene SNORD115. It matches the Rfam family "Small nucleolar RNA SNORD115". Rfam says of the family: HBII-52 is a member of the C/D class of snoRNAs, which contain the C (UGAUGA) and D (CUGA) box motifs. HBII-52 is encoded in a tandemly repeated array with another C/D snoRNA, HBII-85, in the Prader-Willi syndrome (PWS) region of chromosome 15. HBII-52 is exclusively expressed in the brain but is absent in PWS patients. Lineage: Eukaryota; Metazoa; Chordata; Mammalia; Primates; Tarsiidae. The record is from Ensembl.